AAAGAAAAUAACAAUGAUUCCCCUAGUAACUGCGAGUGAAGAGGGACAAGCUCAAAUUUUAAAUCUAUCGGGUUUUACCCGAUCGAGUUGUAAUUUGAAGAAGCGUUUUCUGCGUUUUUGGUCAGCCCAAGUCCUAUUGAAUGAGGCAUCAUGGAGGGUGAUAAUCCCGUCCGGUUGAUCAUUUGCGUUUUACGAUACGCUCUCUAAGAGUCAAGUUGUUUGGGAUCGCAGCUUAAAAUGGGAGGUAAAUUUCUCCUAAGGCUAAAUAACGGCGAGAGACCGAUAGCGAACAAGUACCGUGAGGGAAAGAUGAAAAGAACUUUGAAAAGAGAGUUAAACAGUACGUGAAAUUGUUGAAAGGGAAACGAUUGAAGCCAGUCGUACCUUCGGGUAAUCAGCCUUUCGGGUGCGAUUCUGUGGAGUGUGAGGAGCUUAACACCUUCAUGCUUUGCAUAUUUGUGCUCUUGGGUGUACUUGCCCGUGUGGUUGGUUAACAUCAAUUUUAAUUAUCAUAAAAUGACUGGAGGAAUGUAGCUUCGAUCUCGUAUUGAAGUGUUAUAGCCUUCGGUAGAUGUGAUGAUCGAGAUUGAGGAUUGCAACGGAUACCCUUCGGGGCUACCUGUCUGGUCUCUGAUCGUUGCUCUGGUGCCGAAAGCGUGCUUACGGUUAUCAAAGUCGAUGGUCAAUAGGUUAGAACGGGUUAAAUU
Molecule: ribosomal RNA, 707 nt
Filed under: uncultured Glomeromycotina
Lineage: Eukaryota; Fungi; Glomeromycota
Description: eukaryotic LSU rRNA
Rfam family: Eukaryotic large subunit ribosomal RNA
Source: RNAcentral